RNAcentral lists this long non-coding RNA (265 nucleotides) under Phoenix dactylifera (date palm). RNAcentral's name for it is "long non-coding RNA (PDAC_LNC014105)". The record is from RNAcentral. Lineage: Eukaryota; Viridiplantae; Streptophyta; Magnoliopsida; Arecales; Arecaceae.
CACCAGGAUCUUUGAACUUUGGAGGGGUGUUGUGUUGGAGAAUGGAACUUACCUGCUCAGUUAGGAGGAUCUUUUUAGGCACAUGUGUUCUAUAUUUCCGCUUUUGGAUGCAAAGGUCUUUGAGGAAUUUGGCAUAGGAGGGAACUUGUUUGAUGGCAUGGAGUGGGAGGUUGAUUUUAACUUGUUUGAAGACCUCCAUCAUCUCUUCUAAUGAAGUUUCCUUCUUGCCAAAGGGAGAGGGUGCAUUAAGUGCUUCAGGGAAUGG